RNAcentral lists this ribosomal RNA (332 nucleotides) under uncultured prokaryote. RNAcentral describes it as "bacterial SSU rRNA". It matches the Rfam family "Bacterial small subunit ribosomal RNA", at positions 26 to 352 of the family's 1533-position model. The record is from RNAcentral.
AGGAUUAACGCUGGCGGCGUGCAUAAACAUGCAAGUCGAGCGCAGCGCAUUUUGGGGUAACCCGGAAUGUGUUCAGCGGCGCACGGGUGAGUAACACGUGAGCAACCUACCUUCGAGUCUGGGAUAGCCCUGGGAAACCAGGAUUAAUACCGGAUGUGGUCACGUUAAGGAUCUUGACGUGAGUAAAGGCGAAAGCCGCUCGAUGAUGGGCUCGCGGCCUAUUAGCUUGUUGGUGGGUAACGGCCUACCAAGGCGAUGAUGGGUAGCUGGUCUGAGAGGACGAUCAGCCACACUGGGACUGAGACACGGCCCAGACUCCUACGGGAGGCAGC